GAGGGUAUAGCUCAGUGGUAAAGCAUGCGCUUAGCAUGCAUGAGGUCCUGGGUUCAAUCCCCAGCACCUCCA
This 72-nucleotide transfer RNA is filed under the name Camelus bactrianus (Bactrian camel). It matches the Rfam family "tRNA". From Rfam's summary of the family: Transfer RNA (tRNA) molecules are approximately 80 nucleotides in length. Their secondary structure includes four short double-helical elements and three loops (D, anti-codon, and T loops). The record is from Rfam by way of RNAcentral. Lineage: Eukaryota; Metazoa; Chordata; Mammalia; Artiodactyla; Camelidae. RNAcentral also lists the same sequence under 1 other name.